This 492-nucleotide ribosomal RNA is filed under the name uncultured bacterium. Its description in RNAcentral is "partial 16S ribosomal RNA". It matches the Rfam family "Bacterial small subunit ribosomal RNA", at positions 29 to 507 of the family's 1533-position model. The record is from RNAcentral.
AGUGAACGCUGGCGGUAGGCCUAACACAUGCAAGUCGAACGGCAGCACAGUAAGAGCUUGCUCUUACGGGUGGCGAGUGGCGGACGGGUGAGGAAUACAUCGGAAUCUACUUUUUCGUGGGGGAUAACGUAGGGAAACUUACGCUAAUACCGCAUACGACCUACGGGUGAAAGCAGGGGAUCUUCGGACCUUGCGCGAUUGAAUGAGCCGAUGUCGGAUUAGCUAGUUGGCGGGGUAAAGGCUCACCAAGGCGACGAUUCGUAGCUGGUCUGAGAGGAUGAUCAGCCACACUGGAACUGAGACACGGUCCAGACUCCUACGGGAGGCAGCAGUGGGGAAUAUUGGACAAUGGGCGCAAGCCUGAUCCAGCCAUACCGCGUGGGUGAAGAAGGCCUUCGGGUUGUAAAGCCCUUUUGUUGGGAAAGAAAAGCAGCAGGUUAAUACCCCGCUGUUCUGACGGUACCCAAAGAAUAAGCACCGGCUAACUUCGUG